Molecule: ribosomal RNA, 372 nt
Filed under: uncultured bacterium
Lineage: Bacteria
Description: bacterial SSU rRNA
Rfam family: Bacterial small subunit ribosomal RNA
Source: RNAcentral
GGGCCCGCACAAGCGGUGGAGUAUGUGGUUUAAUUCGAUGCAACGCGAAGAACCUUACCAGGGUUUGACAUCCUGCGAAUCUCUUGGAAACAGGAGAGUGCCUUCGGGAACGCAGUGACAGGUGGUGCAUGGCUGUCGUCAGCUCGUGUCGUGAGAUGUUGGGUUAAGUCCCGCAACGAGCGCAACCCACGUCUUUAGUUGCCAGCAUUUAGUUGGGCACUCUAGAGAGACUGCCAUGCACCACCUGUAUAGGGCGCUAAUGCACACUAUAUCUCUAUAGCUAGACCCUAUAUGUCAAGUCCAGGUAAGGUUCUACGGGUAUCAUCGAAUUAAGCCGCAUGCUCCGCCGCUUGUGCGGGGUCCCGUCAAUUC